This 467-nucleotide ribosomal RNA is filed under the name uncultured bacterium. RNAcentral describes it as "partial 16S ribosomal RNA". It matches the Rfam family "Bacterial small subunit ribosomal RNA", at positions 29 to 507 of the family's 1533-position model. The record is from RNAcentral.
ACGAACGCUUGCGGCGUGCUUAACACAUGCAAGUUGAACGGAAAGGCCCUGCCUUUGUGGGGUGCUCGAGUGGCGAACGGGUGAGUAACACGUGAGUAACCUGCCCUUGACUUUGGGAUAACUUCAGGGAACUGGGGCUAAUACCGGAUAGGAGCUCCUGCUGCAUGGUGGGGGGUGGAAAGUUUCGGCGGUUGGGGAUGGACUCGCGGCUUAUCAGCUUGUUGGUGGGGUAGUGGCUUACCAAGGCGUUGACGGGUAGCCGGCCUGAGAGGGUGACCGGCCACAGUGGGACUGAGAUACGGCCCAGACUCCUACGGGAGGCAGCAGUGGGGAAUAUUGCACAAUGGGCGGAAGCCUGAUGCAGCAACGCCGCGUGCGGGAUGACGGCCUUCGGGUUGUAAACCGCUUUCGCCUGUGACGAAGCGUGAGUGACGGUAAUGGGUAAAGAAGCACCGGCUAACUACGUG